Molecule: long non-coding RNA, 456 nt
Organism: Syngnathus typhle (broad-nosed pipefish)
Lineage: Eukaryota; Metazoa; Chordata; Actinopteri; Syngnathiformes; Syngnathidae
Exons: 3
Source: RefSeq, a predicted model, not a curated record
AUAUUUGUGGAAGGAGACGGUCAUGACACGGUCGGUGGUGUAGAAAGCCUCCUCCACGCCGUCGCCGUGAUGGAUGUCGAUAUCGAUGUACAGCACGCGCUGGUGGUACCUGCACACAACGGACCGAUGGACAUCUUCAAAGAAAUCCACCAGGCUUACUUGAGCAGCUCGAGGAUGGCGAGGACGAUGUCGUUGACGUAGCAGAAACCGGACGCCUCCGACUUCUUGGCGUGGUGGAGUCCUCCCGCCCAGUUGACUGCAAUAAUGUCAACUUGCUUGAGAGAAAAAACACGCACCCACGGAGCCGCCCGUGGAGAGCUGGCAGAACUCAAACAGGCCGUCAAACACCGGACAGUCUUCUCCCACGUUGACUGCGUGAGGAAAACGUAAGUGAGUGAUUUCUGAUUUGCACAUUUGACUUCAUGUUGCAAGAAAUAGAAAAAUCUCACAUCUUUG